RNAcentral lists this ribosomal RNA (827 nucleotides) under Providencia rettgeri. Its description in RNAcentral is "partial 23S ribosomal RNA". The record is from RNAcentral. Lineage: Bacteria; Pseudomonadati; Pseudomonadota; Gammaproteobacteria; Enterobacterales; Morganellaceae.
GGCAGUAAAGGGUGAUAGCCCCGUAUCCGAAGGUGUUAGUGUUGUGAACUCGACGAGUAGGGCGGGACACGUGUUAUCCUGUCUGAAUAUGGGGGGACCAUCCUCCAAGGCUAAAUACUCCUGAUUGACCGAUAGUGAACCAGUACCGUGAGGGAAAGGCGAAAAGAACCCCGGCGAGGGGAGUGAAAUAGAACCUGAAACCGUGUACGUACAAGCAGUGGGAGCCUUGAUUUAUCAGGGUGACUGCGUACCUUUUGUAUAAUGGGUCAGCGACUUAUAUUCUGUAGCAAGGUUAACCGWAUAGGGGAGCCGUAGGGAAACCGAGUCUUAACUGGGCGAAUAAGUUGCAGGGUAUAGACCCGAAACCCGGUGAUCUAGCCAUGGGCAGGUUGAAGGUUGGGUAACACUAACUGGAGGACCGAACCGACUAAUGUUGAAAAAUUAGCGGAUGACUUGUGGCUGGGGGUGAAAGGCCAAUCAAACCGGGAGAUAGCUGGUUCUCCCCGAAAGCUAUUUAGGUAGCGCCUCGUGAACUCAUCUUCGGGGGUAGAGCACUGUUUCGACUAGGGGGUCAUCCCGACUUACCAACUCGAUGCAAACUACGAAUACCGAAGAAUGUUAUCACGGGAGACACACGGCGGGUGCUAACGUUCGUCGUGAAGAGGGAAACAACCCAGACCGCCAGCUAAGGUCCCAAAGUCAUAGUUAAGUGGGAAACGAAGUGGGAAGGCUCAGACAGCCAGGAUGUUGGCUUAGAAGCAGCCAUCAUUUAAAGAAAGCGUAAUAGCUCACUGGUCGAGUCGGCCUGCGCGGAAGAUGUAACGGGG